This 45-nucleotide non-coding RNA is filed under the name Schistosoma mansoni. Lineage: Eukaryota; Metazoa; Platyhelminthes; Trematoda; Strigeidida; Schistosomatidae. The record is from RNAcentral.
AUCCAAAUGAUGUGUCCCGAAUAGGAUGAGACGUGCGUCUUAGAU